GACGAACGCUGGCGGCGUGCCUAAUACAUGCAAGUAGAACGCACAGUUUAUACCGUAGCUUGCUACACCAUAAACUGUGAGUUGCGAACGGGUGAGUAACGCGUAGGUAACCUGCCUGGUAGCGGGGGAUAACUAUUGGAAACGAUAGCUAAUACCGCAUAAUAUUGAUUAUUGCAUGAUAAUUGAUUGAAAGAUGCUAUUGCAUCACUACCAGUUGGACCUGCGUUGUAUUAGCUAGUAGGUGAGGUAACGGCUCACCUAGGCGACGAUACAUAGCCGACCUGAGAGGGUGAUCGGCCACACUGGGACUGAGACACGGCCCAGACUCCUACGGGAGGCAGCAGUAGGGAAUCUUCGGCAAUGGACGAAAGUCUGACCGAGCAACGCCGCGUGAGUGAAGAAGGUUUUCGGAUCGCAAAGCUCUGUUGUAAGAGAAGAACGGGUGUGAGAGUGGAAAGUUCACACUGUGACGGUAUCUUACCAGAAAGGGACGGCUAACUACGUG
This 505-nucleotide ribosomal RNA is filed under the name uncultured bacterium. RNAcentral describes it as "partial 16S ribosomal RNA". It matches the Rfam family "Bacterial small subunit ribosomal RNA", at positions 28 to 507 of the family's 1533-position model. The record is from RNAcentral.